RNAcentral lists this ribosomal RNA (446 nucleotides) under uncultured bacterium. RNAcentral describes it as "partial 16S ribosomal RNA". It matches the Rfam family "Bacterial small subunit ribosomal RNA", at positions 338 to 795 of the family's 1533-position model. The record is from RNAcentral.
CCUACGGGCGGCAGCAGUCGAGAAUCAUUCACAAUGGGGGAAACCCUGAUGGUGCGACGCCGCGUGGGGGAAUGAAGGUCUUCGGAUUGUAAACCCCUGUCAUGUGGGAGCAAAUUAAAAAGAUAGUACCACAAGAGGAAGAGACGGCUAACUCUGUGCCAGCAGCCGCGGUAAUACAGAGGUCUCAAGCGUUGUUCGGAAUCACUGGGCGUAAAGCGUGCGUAGGCUGUUUCGUAAGUCGUGUGUGAAAGGCGGGGGCUCAACCCGCGGACGGCACAUGAUACUGCGAGACUAGAGUAAUGGAGGGGGAACCGGAAUUCUCGGUGUAGCAGUGAAAUGCGUAGAUAUCGAGAGGAACACUCGUGGCGAAGGCGGGUUCCUGGACAUUAACUGACGCUGAGGCACGAAGGCCAGGGGAGCGAAAGGGAUUAGAUACCCUUGUAGUC